Molecule: small nuclear RNA, 123 nt
Organism: Alexandromys fortis (reed vole)
Lineage: Eukaryota; Metazoa; Chordata; Mammalia; Rodentia; Cricetidae
Source: RefSeq, a predicted model, not a curated record
GUGUUGUUUGAAAGGAGAGAAGGUUAGCACUCCCCUUGCCGAGGAUGGAAGAGGCCCUUGGGCCUAAUAACAUGCAUAUGGUUAAGUUUAAAAAAAAAAAAAAAAGGCAGACAUGGUGGCUUU